GGAAUAUUGGACAAUGGGCGAAAGCCUGAUCCAGCCAUGCCGCGUGAGUGAAGAAGGCCUUAGGGUUGUAAAGCUCUUUCACCUGCGAAGAUGAUGACGGUACCUACAGAAGAAGCCCCGGCUCACUUCGUGCCAGCAGCCGCGGUAAUACGAAGGGGGCUAGCGUUGUUCGGAUUUACUGGGCGUAAAGCGCACGUAGGCGGUUUGUUAAGUCAGAGGUGAAAUCCCGGAGCUCAACUCCGGAACUGCCUUUGAUACUGGCAAGCUAGAGUCCGGAAGAGGUAAGUGGAACUCCUAGUGUAGAGGUGGAAUUCGUAGAUAUUAGGAAGAACACCAGUGGCGAAGGCGGCUUACUGGUCCGGAACUGACGCUGAGGUGCGAAAGCGUGGGGAGCAAAC
Molecule: ribosomal RNA, 398 nt
Filed under: uncultured bacterium
Lineage: Bacteria
Description: bacterial SSU rRNA
Rfam family: Bacterial small subunit ribosomal RNA
Source: RNAcentral